RNAcentral lists this unclassified non-coding RNA (312 nucleotides) under Hevea brasiliensis (rubber tree). Lineage: Eukaryota; Viridiplantae; Streptophyta; Magnoliopsida; Malpighiales; Euphorbiaceae. The record is from RNAcentral.
GCUUGAGGUCUUGCGCUGGAUGCGCCAGGAGUCGCCGUUGACGUUGAAGAUGCCGUCACCGAGGAAGUCGUGAAGGGCGGAUAUGAAAGUGAAGCCCUUUUCGUAGGUGGUGAAGUGGGAGCGGGCAAGGUGCUCGACUGCGGCGGGGUCGGCGGUGAAGACGAGAGGGGCGACAGUAACGGUGCCGGUGGGGCUGGCGGAGACGAGCUCGGUUAUCCAGUCGAGGAUUCGGUGGCCGUUUUUUAUGAGUUGGGGGAGGUUUCCGAUGAUGGGGUAAGGUUUGAUGACGGUAGGGCCGACGCCGGCAGUGGU